Paramormyrops kingsleyae is the source of this 706-nucleotide long non-coding RNA. RefSeq lists it as uncharacterized. The record is from RefSeq and is a predicted model, not a curated record. NCBI's taxonomy places the organism in Eukaryota, Metazoa, Chordata, Actinopteri, Osteoglossiformes, Mormyridae.
CUAACAAAUCCAUGAUAAGGAGAACGUGUGUGCUUAACGUGGCUCGUCAGGGAGGUCCUCCGGUCUUCUAAAGUCUGAUGCAGAUAUUAGCAGAAAUACGACCCGACGGAGACGCGAUGAGCGCCUCUGAUGAGCCCCGCUGUCAGAUCGUCGUGGACGCGCGGCAGCGCCAAUGAAAAAGCGCCUCCGCCUUGGAUUAAGGAGCUUAACAGUGAUUCCCCGUAACCACCUGUCAGCCGCUCGUCCCGGCUCCGCCCACCCUGUGGUUCCGGCUCCGCCCUUCCUGUGGUCCUGGCCCCGCCCACCAUGUGGUCCGGGCCCCGCCCCAUCCUGUGGACCUGGCUCUCAGGCCGCCAUUUAGGCUUUGCCAAGGGCCUUUUAUUGGCCAAAUCCCCACAGACUCUGGUCCCAUCAGACUGGGUGCCUGAUACGUCGCUUCACUGCAAAUAACACCUCGGGGGGUAUUUGUGAGUUUUUCCCCGAGAUUUAGUUUAAUAAUUCACAUUUAUUAUGUAUAUUAUGUACAGUAGCAAGUAUUAUUCUUGCGACUUUUCAAGGUAUUGACAGCAGCCAUAGACACCCUCUCUGCCUCCACCUCCACAAUCCUCGAAUGUUUUUAUUAUUUGUAUUAUUGUGUGCAUUUGAGUGUAUUAAAGCUACUGGAUGCCUAAAUAUCCUUCAGGAUCAAUAAAAUCUAAUCUAUCUA